UAAAAAAAAAAAAAAAAUUAUAUUCAUCUACAUACAUUUUUUAUCAAUAAGACCUUUAAAUGUCAUUUGCAUGUGAGAUGAGUUUGAACCACUUUGGAAAAAAGAUUCAUGAAAAUGGCUUAAACCCUCUUCUCUUUAGUUAAGAACGUCCAUCCAUCCAUCAUCUGUAACCACUUCUCCUAUUCAGGGUCGCGGGGGCUGGAGCCGAUCCCAGCUGGCGUUGGGCGAAGGCGGGCUACAGGGUAGUUGCCAGACUAUCACAGGGAUGACACAUAGAGACAGACAACCAUUCACACUCACAUUCACACCUACGGGUAAUUUAGAGUUGACAAUUAACCUAGCCUGCAUGUCUUUGGACUGUGGGAGGAAGCCGGGGAAACCAGAGAAAACCCACGCCAACACGGGGAGAACAUGCAAACUCCACACAGAAGGGCCUCAAGCCGGGUUUUUUUUAACCUGCAACCCUCUUGCUGUGAGGUGACAGUGCUAACCACCCCUGUUCAUCGUUACCUUCUCAGUCUGGGAUUGGCCACAGAGUACCUGUUUCAUAUUUAUCCAAGACCAGAAGAUAUCAUUUCACCUGACGAGCAAAAUGGCUACUUGGUUUCCUGCCAGUCAGUUGCUCCUCAUUGCACUGUUAAGCUGGAAUGUCUAUUGCUUUCCUGCUAAAAAAGGCUGGAGCCAGCCUGAUCCUUAUUAUGAGGGUGAUUUCCCUAACAUGGAAGUGCGUCCUGGCUUCAAUUACCGCUCAUCCCUAGGUGCUCCUGCACAGCCUUCCAGUGUGAGUUACCCUGCUGUGGAGGAGGGAGAGUAUUCUAGUCCUGGAACCCGUCCAGCAAGCUACUCCAGACAGGUCCAGUGAGGCUUCAUGAAACGCUGCUCCUAGUUGGGAUCCUGCGGAAGAGCCUACGACUACCUACACCGCGUCCAGAACAUCUCGGCCUGCACUUGACUGUGGCCCUCCCCCUUCACUUGUCCCCCAAGCAGGCGAGCUUAACCACUAUGAAGCCAACUCAGAGCACGGUAAUUCGGAAAGGGAAACUGAGGAGCUAAGCUUUCCUGAGCCUCUGCUGCCGCCGCCACCUCCUCCAUAUCCUGACUUCCAAGCUGGUGAGCUGAGUCGGUAUACAGCAGGAAGAGCGGGAAACAGAAGAACACCGCCUCCCUAUGAUUCAGCGCCACAGGAGGUUGAGGAGUCAGCUUCUUCCACGUCAGACCACAAGCAGCCAGUUCCAGAAGAGCUGAUCCCGGUUGGACUGAGCCAGUUCUUGACUGGUCAGCUUCCUCCUGGCACAUACACUCACUUUCAGUCAGACUACGAGGCAGGCAGAGACCACUGGGAUGAAGCCCAUUAUGAGAGACACCACUACCCCACUCUGACUCAGCAGCACCAGGACUAUACCAAAAUCUAACCAGGACUGUAGGUCUUUAAAACAACUUGAAGCAGAUCAGGGUAAAGGCGACUCUAGUAGUCUUGCUUUCUACUCUUAACGUGUCUGUGAAAUGUGCUCAAGUUGUUGUGACAUUUGAAUAAAGUGCAACAUGACCAUUAAUGAAUUGUGUUCUCUUAUGUGGGUUGGAUGGACUGGUCUUAAAUUUGAGGGGGAGGAUUUAUUCUAAGGAAACUUCAGGUACUGCGUAAACUCAAGCCUCUUUGCUACUGUGACAAUAGCUCAAAUCUAUCCACGUGAAGUCACUGUGGCUAUAGAAAGACGUCCAAUCAUACCCUGGUAUUCAAACUGUACUGGAUGCUUGUGUGAGUGUUCAAAUUUAAGAUAAUAGUGAAGCUGUUACACUUUAGUCAGGGGCAAAGUUAUGUACUCUUAUGUAGUGGGAAGCUGUUUUGUGGUGCCUCAAGUGUGUUAACUUGCAUAAUGCCUUCAAUUUUACUUGCUUUUCCAGCACCCUACAAGGAAGCCUAUUUUAUGACCAGACUGUCUAACACUUGCCACUAUGGCAGAGUCUGAUUUUUUGCUUUGUGUACCCUAAGUUAUCCAGUGGAUGACUUAACUUAUCGGGUUUAUUUUUGCCAGGUAAUGCAUGGAAUUUGACUCCGUUUUGUUGCAGCUCUCUCAAUGUACUUACACAGAAUAGAAAUAUAAGCUAGGAACAAUAAUGACAAACAAUAAAAUAACAAUACAAUAAUGAGUCUUAACACCGUAAAGCUCUUUUCCACAACUGAAACAACCACCUGUUUGUGCUUUU
This is a long non-coding RNA of Sebastes umbrosus (honeycomb rockfish), 2205 nucleotides long. RefSeq lists it as uncharacterized. Lineage: Eukaryota; Metazoa; Chordata; Actinopteri; Perciformes; Sebastidae. The record is from RefSeq and is a predicted model, not a curated record. The transcript is spliced from 3 exons.